This 449-nucleotide ribosomal RNA is filed under the name uncultured bacterium. RNAcentral describes it as "bacterial SSU rRNA". It matches the Rfam family "Bacterial small subunit ribosomal RNA", at positions 335 to 799 of the family's 1533-position model. The record is from RNAcentral.
ACUCCUACGGGAGGCAGCAGUGGGGAAUAUUGCACAAUGGGCGCAAGCCUGAUGCAGCAACGCCGCGUGAGCGAAGAAGGUCUUCGGAUCGUAAAGCUCUUUUCUUAGGGAAGAAAACUGACGGUACCUAAGGAAUAAGCACCGGCUAAAUACGUGCCAGCAGCCGCGGUAAUACGUAUGGUGCAAGCGUUAUCCGGAAUCACUGGGCGUAAAGGGGUGCGUAGGCGGUUUUGCAAGUCAGAAGUGAAAGGCUACGGCUCAACCGUAGUAAGCUUUUGAAACUGCAAGACUAGAGUGCAGGAGAGGAAAGUGGAAUUCCUAGUGUAGAGGUGAAAUUCGUAGAUAUUAGGAGGAACACCAGUGGCGAAGGCGACUUUCUGGACUGUAACUGACGCUGAUGCACGAAAGCGUGGGGAGCGAACAGGAUUAGAUACCCUGGUGGCACAGAG